This 381-nucleotide ribosomal RNA is filed under the name uncultured bacterium. Its description in RNAcentral is "bacterial SSU rRNA". It matches the Rfam family "Archaeal small subunit ribosomal RNA", at positions 471 to 851 of the family's 1478-position model. The record is from RNAcentral.
UAACACCGGCAGCUCAAGUGGUGGCCGUUUUUAUUGGGCCUAAAGCGUUCGUAGCCGGCCUGAUAAGUCUCUGGUGAAAUCCUGCAGCUUAACUGUGGGAAUUGCUGGAGAUACUAUCAGGCUUGAGGUCGGGAGAGGUUAGAGGUACUCCCAGGGUAGGGGUGAAAUCCUGUAAUCCUGGGAGGACCACCUGUGGCGAAGGCGUCUAACUGGAACGAACCUGACGGUGAGGAACGAAAGCCAGGGGCGCGAACCGGAUUAGAUACCCGGGUAGUCCUGGCCGUAAACGAUGUGGACUUGGUGUUGGGAUGGCUUCGAGCUGCUCCAGUGCCGAAGGGAAGCUGUUAAGUCCACCGCCUGGGAAGUACGGUCGCAAGACUG